CAGUAGCCGCGGUAAAACGAACCGUGCGAACGUUAUUCGGAAUCACUGGGCUUAAAGCGCGUGUAGGCGGAUUGGUGCGUCGGUGCCUGAAAUCCCCCGGCUCAACCGGGGAACGCGGCCCGAAACGACCAGUCUGGAGGGACGUAGGGGGAACUGGAACUUCCGGUGGAGCGGUGAAAUGCGUUGAGAUCGGAAGGAACGCCCGUGGCGAAAGCGAGUUCCUGGACGUCUGCUGACGCUGAGACGCGAAAGCUAGGGGAGCGAACAGGAUUAGAGACCCCCGUAGUCCCUGUCUCUUAUA
This 301-nucleotide ribosomal RNA is filed under the name uncultured bacterium. Its description in RNAcentral is "partial 16S ribosomal RNA". It matches the Rfam family "Bacterial small subunit ribosomal RNA", at positions 509 to 808 of the family's 1533-position model. The record is from RNAcentral.